GACGUCGUUCCAAAGCCGUAAUUAGUGUCAGGUGUGGCUGCUUGUCACGUCAAGUGACCCAAAAACUCUACAAGUGACGAGAUCACACGGACCACGAGGACCAUCAACAGAGAUGAGGGAUCCUACACAUUAUCGCACAUCUGGUAUGCUGUCCUCUGCAAGGCGCCAGAUAACGGGGGCCUGGAUAAGAACAGCUGACAAGACAUGUCACGGCAACAUCAUGUGACCCUUUUGAGGAAGCAGCAGAAACAUGUCAAGACUGGACACUUUUGUCAAGAUGGGUCACUACAAAAUUGGAUGAGCCAACGGAAAAAGGCUGUGCCAUUACGACUUGGUGUGAGG
Long non-coding RNA from Entelurus aequoreus (snake pipefish), 342 nucleotides. RefSeq lists it as uncharacterized. The record is from RefSeq and is a predicted model, not a curated record. The transcript is spliced from 3 exons. NCBI's taxonomy places the organism in Eukaryota, Metazoa, Chordata, Actinopteri, Syngnathiformes, Syngnathidae.